AUUACGUUAGUCUGGUUGGCCAGAAGACGGAUCUAAAAAGGGUUGUUUGCUUGUGUACACACCGCGGAGCCUUACAUACCCUGCGGUUGGCUUUCCAUAACAUGCGCAUUCAAGGGUAUCUCAACUGUUUAGCUCAAAAACAAACAAACAAAAAAAAACCAAGUCUAUUUCAGCUUUUCUUCACCUUUGUUGUUUGAAGAUCUAUGGAUUUCAACUCCACGCAUCUUCAAGCGACCAAGGUUGAUAGACACCGAUCCAGAUACACAGGACACAUUGAAUAAAAAAACAGCUUACAGCUGUCUUCGUAUAUUUUUUUUCUUCCAUUCAAUCCUGUCUGAUUUACCUGUCUGACUAAAUCCCUGCAGUUUUCUUGUCAAGUGUAAUUCAACGGUGUCCGAUAUUUGCUUCUACAACAACUAAAGAGGACCCAGUGGCUCAACAGAAAUGAUACAGCCAUAUACGUUUUACUGGGAUUGAUAUUCUGCUUCCUCUAGUGGAUCGUACUCAAUAUGAGUAUUCCAAUAGCCUUUGUAAAAGUAAAAAAAAAAAUAUCCUUGAGCUGAUCUUCACUCCUGAUGACUUUGUUGAUGACUUCAUUGAAGUUUGAGACUUUUUUUAAUGUGUUAGUCAUCCCAAAAUUUGUUUUGCAAGUUGUGCAGCCUAUAUAUUUGAAUGACUCUGCUUGUCUGGCAACCCCAUAGGCAACCUCCCAUACGCUGACAUUCAACUCAAUAUGUGCAAAUCCUUAGCAUUGCUAAAAAUGUAGCAAUUUUUUUAAUAAACUUACUAAGGAGCAUAAAAUGUUUAGGAGAAUAAUAAUAGUACCAAUAGUAAUAAGCACGUUGGGCGCAAUUUCAAAACAAAUGGAUCACCACUUGAAUACCAUUGGCAUUGCCAAAAAACACCAUCAGUCAAUUGCAAAAGGCAGUUUUACCUAUAACAACUUACACCUUGAGGCAAUAUUUUUAACAUCAUCUCUGAUGGUUUCCACAGACUCCAGCUGGGACUAUUUGCCAAUUAUAGUAUUGCAAAUAUUCCAUGCUUCAGUAAAAAUAUUACUGUGAAUUAUUAUUUUCUAAGUUCAGAUUACAAGAUGAUUAAUAAUUACAGAACCGUUGGCAGAAAAUAUUUAUUAGGUGUUACAAUGGAUCUUGGUUUGUAGUAUAAAAUGUCUAAGAUCGUAAGAAAUAUUUCUUUGUAAGGAUAGUAUAACAAUUUUAUUCAAAUACAAAUCUGCAAAGUAGUGUUUUUCACCCAAAUACUCUUUGGCUACAUUUUUUAAUUCUGUAGCAUAUUAACAUAUAUAAGAUAUCUAAUAAUAGAUACCUGUGGUUGCUAUUUAUUUAGUCAUAAGCCUGAAUAGUAACCAAUUCUCAACAACUUUGGGCCUAAUAGUAAAAGUCAACACCAAUGUGAUGGUACAUAAUCAAUCAUAUUAGAGCUAAUAGAAAGAUGUUUUGAAGGUAACCUUUCUUCUUAAUCACAGCAUAGGAAUAAGUUAUAGAUCACUUCAUUAUAUCUAAACAUUAAAACACAAAUAGAAGGAAGAAAAAAGAGCUUUGGGACCUAUUAUAUCCAUACUGGAGUGGGAAAAUUCUUGAUGCAUAAAUUAAGGGAUAUAUGUGAUAUCACUCAUAGCAGGAAACCAUCAUGGAAAAAAUGCAGAAUAAUACUGGAAUACUGUACAUAACUUGCCUGUGACACGGUUGUUAUAAAUUACAUAAUUUGUAUAAUUGCCCUGAUGAUACCAUGACACACACUGUGUCAUCUUGCUUCUACCAGACAUUUAUUUCAUCAGUAAGAAUAAUUCUGGGGAAGAUGCUUGUUUAUUUAUCUGUUGGAUUUUGUCCUGCCAAAUCUGAGCAGACUCUUGGCAGCUUAUAGAAUAAUAAUUAAAACAUUCAUAGUAUACCAUAAAUAUCUGUAAUAUAAGUUAAAAUAAAAACAAUAAAACAUC
Long non-coding RNA from Crotalus tigris (Tiger rattlesnake), 1957 nucleotides. RefSeq lists it as uncharacterized. The transcript is spliced from 2 exons. Lineage: Eukaryota; Metazoa; Chordata; Lepidosauria; Squamata; Viperidae. The record is from RefSeq and is a predicted model, not a curated record.